Molecule: long non-coding RNA, 800 nt
Filed under: Laticauda laticaudata (blue-ringed sea krait)
Lineage: Eukaryota; Metazoa; Chordata; Lepidosauria; Squamata; Elapidae
Description: lncRNA (ENSLLTG00000003203.1)
Source: RNAcentral
UGUAUUUUUAAAUGGUUUUUGCUGGAUUUCGUAAACUGGAAUAGACGGUUAUAACAAUUAAUAUAGUAGUAAUCAGGCGCUUUCCGAGAUGUCUCUUCGCCUUCCUCGUGUCGCCUACCAGCUCGUGGAGUUCCAGCUUGGCUACCUUUACGAGCCCAAAGACGCCUCCGGAACUACGUUUUCCACAAUGCAUCGCGAGCCCUGUAUAUUUUUAGGGCUGAUCCUAUACCGCGAGAGGUCGCGCCGUUUUCACGAAAGGAAACGAGUGAGAAGCGAGUGGUCGGCUUGUUCGUUCACACCUGCUUAAAAGAAGUAUCCGAAAGUAUCCCAUUUCAUUUGUGUUUGUAAACUUGUUCUGACUAGUUUACAUGAAACGUCGGUGCUAUGUAGAUACGGAAAAAAAUAUUCGGCCCACGGAGGCCACCCCCGAUCACGUGGCCCUCAAAAAGGACCGUUGUGGCUCCCGCUCGUCGCGAGACUUGGCGUGUUGUUUCGCCUCGUGGCGAAGAGACCCGGGCGCGGGUGCGCGCGCGAUUCGUUUAGAACCGGCUGCGAUUGAGGGCACUCAAAGCACGAUCGGACAGGCCUCGACUUGCCAGGGGGGGACACAAACAGCGCUUCCCUUAAACGGACUCUCAGACUGCAAAGGAUUGAAGGCCAAAGACAAAGAAAACCAAAAGAAACCAUUGCAAUCAAACCUGCUAAUGUUCCUGUUUCAGUCAAAGAAGUAUCCAAAGCACUGUCUGUCUCGCAAGAGGCUGAGCAAAAACUGGGAGACGCUGAGGAGGAGUUCAUGGUAA